Molecule: non-coding RNA, 187 nt
Rfam family: 6S / SsrS RNA
About the family: E. coli 6S RNA was the first non coding RNA to be sequenced, but its function was unknown until recently. It consists of 184 nucleotides that fold into an extended hairpin structure with a large single-stranded internal bulge.
Source: Rfam
GAGUUCCUGUGGUGUUCGUUAAAAACUUAACGUUUUGAGCCAACACUUAUACAUCGGGAGCCUGAACCUUGAGUUUCAGCAACAAUAACAUGCCCCGUAAAUGGGGAAGUUAGCGGUGCUGAACAGGGCACCCACCUGCCAAUGCAGGUUCAAACCAAGGUCAAUGGACGGCAUUCACGGGACUCUU